AGCAGCCGCGGUAAUUCCAGCUCCAAUAGCGUAUAUUAAAGUUGUUGCAGUUAAAAAGCUCGUAGUUGAAUUUCGGGGUUAGUAAGUUGGUCAUGCCUUCGGUAUGUACUGGCUUUACUGAUUCCUCCUUCUUGACGAACCGUGAUGUCAUUAAUUUGGUGUUGCGGGAAAUCAGGACUGUUACUUUGAAAAAAUUGAGUGUUUAAAGCAGGCUAGCGCUUGAAUACAUUAGCAUGGAAUAAUGAAAUAGGACGUUAAUCCUAUUUUGUUGGUUUCUAGGAUCGACGUAAUGAUUAAUAGGGAUAGUUGGGGGCAUUAGUAUUCAAUUGUCAGAGGUGAAAUUCUUGGAUUUAUUGAAGACUAACUACUGCGAAAGCAUUUGCCAAGGAUGUUUUCAUUAAUCAAGAACGAAAGUUAGGGAUCGAAGACGAUCAGAUACCGUCGUAGUCUUAACCAUAAACUAUGCCGACUAGGGAUCGGAUGAUGUUAUUUUUAUGUACUCAUUCGGCGCCUUACGGGA
Molecule: ribosomal RNA, 520 nt
Filed under: uncultured Glomus
Lineage: Eukaryota; Fungi; Glomeromycota; Glomeromycetes; Glomerales; Glomeraceae
Description: SSU rRNA
Rfam family: Eukaryotic small subunit ribosomal RNA
Source: RNAcentral